This 73-nucleotide transfer RNA is filed under the name Tissierellia bacterium. Its description in RNAcentral is "tRNA-Thr". It matches the Rfam family "tRNA". From Rfam's summary of the family: Transfer RNA (tRNA) molecules are approximately 80 nucleotides in length. Their secondary structure includes four short double-helical elements and three loops (D, anti-codon, and T loops). Lineage: Bacteria; Bacillati; Bacillota; Tissierellia. The record is from RNAcentral.
GCCCCCAUGGCGCAGUCGGUAGCGCACAUGCAUGGUAAGCAUGAGGUCGCCGGUUCGAUUCCGGCUGUGGGCU